This 402-nucleotide RNase P RNA is filed under the name Fuscibacter oryzae. Its description in RNAcentral is "Bacterial RNase P class A". It matches the Rfam family "Bacterial RNase P class A". Rfam says of the family: Ribonuclease P (RNase P) is a ubiquitous endoribonuclease, found in archaea, bacteria and eukarya as well as chloroplasts and mitochondria. Lineage: Bacteria; Pseudomonadati; Pseudomonadota; Alphaproteobacteria; Rhodobacterales; Paracoccaceae. The record is from Rfam by way of RNAcentral.
GCGGAUGGCUGGAUGACCGCGGGGCGAAUGCCUCGAGGAAAGUCCGGACUCCAUGAGGUAAGGGUGCCGGGUAACGCCCGGCGGGGGCAACCCCAGGGAAAGCGCCACAGAGAAGAGUCUGCCCUGCAUGCAGGGUGAUGGUGAAACGGUGGGGUAAGAGCCCACCGCGGACCGGGCAACCGGGACGGCACGGCAAGCCCCACCCGGAGCAAUGCCGAAUAGGGACCUUGCGCGGAAAGGUCUGCGACUGCCGAAAGGCGAUGGCAGAGACCUCCGCAGGGACACUUCAGCCCAGAGGUCCGGGUUGGCAGCUUGACCGCCGUGGCAACACGAGCGGCAGAGGAAUGGUCAUCCAGGGGGGAAACCCCCGGACAGAAUCCGGCUUACAGGCCAUCCGCGCAA